UACCCGCAGCACAAGUGGUGGUCAUUAUUAUUGGGCCUAAAGCGUCCGUAGCUGGCUUGUUAGAUGCCUGGGUAAAUCGAUGCGCUCAACGUAUCGAAUUCCGGGUAGACCGGCAAGCUCGAGACCGGGAGAGGUGUAGGCUACUCGAGGGGUAGGGGUAAAAUCCUGUAAUCCUUCGGGGAGGACCAGUGGCGAAGGCGCUACACUAGAACGGCUCUGACUGUGAGGGACGAAGCCCUGGGGCGCAAACCGG
This 253-nucleotide ribosomal RNA is filed under the name uncultured bacterium. Its description in RNAcentral is "partial 16S ribosomal RNA". It matches the Rfam family "Archaeal small subunit ribosomal RNA", at positions 474 to 727 of the family's 1478-position model. The record is from RNAcentral.